GACGAACGCUGGCGGCGUGCUUAACACAUGCAAGUCGUACGGUAAGGCCCUUUCGGGGGUACACGAGUGGCGAACGGGUGAGUAACACGUGAGUAACCUGCCCACAACUUUGGGAUAACGCUAGGAAACUGGUGCUAAUACUGGAUAUGUGCUCCUGCUGCAUGGUGGGGGUUGGAAAGCUCCGGCGGUUGUGGAUGGACUCGCGGCCUAUCAGCUUGUUGGUGGGGUAGUGGCCUACCAAGGCGGCGACGGGUAGCCGGCCUGAGAGGGUGACCGGCCACAUUGGGACUGAGAGACGGCCCAGACGCCUACGGGAGGCAGCAGUGGGGAAUAUUGCACAAUGGGCGCAAGCCUGAUGCAGCAACGCCGCGUGCGGGAUGACGGCCUUCGGGUUGUAAACCGCUUUCAGCAGGGACGAAGCUUUUUGUGACGGUACCUGCAGAAGAAGCACCGGCUAACUACGUG
RNAcentral lists this ribosomal RNA (465 nucleotides) under uncultured bacterium. RNAcentral describes it as "partial 16S ribosomal RNA". It matches the Rfam family "Bacterial small subunit ribosomal RNA", at positions 28 to 507 of the family's 1533-position model. The record is from RNAcentral.